RNAcentral lists this ribosomal RNA (110 nucleotides) under uncultured eukaryote. RNAcentral's name for it is "partial small subunit ribosomal RNA". It matches the Rfam family "Eukaryotic small subunit ribosomal RNA", at positions 1676 to 1785 of the family's 1831-position model. The record is from RNAcentral.
UCGCAUCUACCGAUUGGAUGGUCCGGUGAAGCCUCGGGAUUGGGGCCUGGUUCCUUCGUUGGGACCAGGCCGCGAGAACUUGUCUGAACCUUAUCAUUUAGAGGAAGGUG